This 448-nucleotide ribosomal RNA is filed under the name uncultured bacterium. RNAcentral describes it as "partial 16S ribosomal RNA". It matches the Rfam family "Bacterial small subunit ribosomal RNA", at positions 29 to 523 of the family's 1533-position model. The record is from RNAcentral.
AAUGAACGCUGGCGGCAGGCCUGACACAUGCAAGUCGAACGGAUCCUUCGGGAUUAGUGGCGGACGGGUGAGUAACGCGUGGGAACAUACCCUUUGGUACGGAAUAGCCUCGGGAAACUGGGAGUAAUACCGUAUGUGGUCGAGAGACGAAAGAUUUAUCGCCAAAGGAUUGGCCCGCGUUGGAUAGGUAGUUGGUGGGGUAAUGGCCUACCAAGCCGACGAUCCAUAGCUGGUUUGAGAGGAUGAUCAGCCACACUGGGACUGAGACACGGCCCAGACUCCUACGGGAGGCAGCAGUGGGGAAUCUUAGACAAUGGGGGAAACCCUGAUCUAGCCAUGCCGCGUGAUCGAUGAAGGCCUUAGGGUUGUAAAGAUCUUUCAGGUGGGAAGAUAAUGACUGUACCACCAGAAGAAGCCCCGGCUAACUCCGUGCCAGCCGCCGCAGUAA